Molecule: non-coding RNA, 213 nt
Organism: Python bivittatus (Burmese python)
Lineage: Eukaryota; Metazoa; Chordata; Lepidosauria; Squamata; Pythonidae
Source: RefSeq, a predicted model, not a curated record
AACAGAUGACGCCGUAGUAGAACCCUGCGCUGACUAGCCUGUAUGUGGCUCUGAGAUAUCACAUGAGUUUCCUUUGCGGCCUUUGUUCCCCUCUUUGCCCAACCACAGCUGUGAAACGGCAGGUACUCAGUCAACUGGAUUCCCUACAAGAUGACAAAUCUGAACAGAUUUUAUAGACCUUGAGGCCCUCUUUGGACAAAAUUGGAGUAAGAA